UAGGGAAUCUUCGGCAAUGGACGGAGGUCUGACCGAGCAACGCCGCGUGAGUGAAGAAGGUUUUCGGAUCGUAAAGCUCUGUUGUAAGAGAAGAACGAGUGUGAGAGUGGAAAGUUCACACUGUGACGGUAUCUUACCAGAAAGGGACGGCUAACUACGUGCCAGCAGCCGCGGUAAUACGUAGGUCCCGAGCGUUGUCCGGAUUUAUUGGGCGUAAAGCGAGCGCAGGCGGUUAGAUAAGUCUGAAGUUAAAGGCUGUGGCUUAACCAUAGUAGGCUUUGGAAACUGUUUAACUUGAGUGCAAGAGGGGAGAGUGGAAUUCCAUGUGUAGCGGUGAAAUGCGUAGAUAUAUGGAGGAACACCGGUGGCGAAAGCGGCUCUCUGGCUUGUAACUGACGCUGAGGCUCGAAAGCGUGGGGAGCAAACAGGAUUAGAUACCCUGGUAGUCCACGCUGUAAACGAUGAGUGCUAGGUGUUAGACCCUUUCCGGGGUUUAGUGCCGUAGCUAACGCAUUAAGCACUCCGCCUGGGGAGUACGACCGCAAGGUU
Molecule: ribosomal RNA, 549 nt
Filed under: uncultured bacterium
Lineage: Bacteria
Description: bacterial SSU rRNA
Rfam family: Bacterial small subunit ribosomal RNA
Source: RNAcentral